RNAcentral lists this ribosomal RNA (541 nucleotides) under Proaphelinoides sp. FAFU Yu Si S200. RNAcentral describes it as "partial large subunit ribosomal RNA". It matches the Rfam family "Eukaryotic large subunit ribosomal RNA", at positions 357 to 670 of the family's 3401-position model. The record is from RNAcentral. Lineage: Eukaryota; Metazoa; Arthropoda; Insecta; Hymenoptera; Aphelinidae.
GGGAAAGUUGAAAAGAACUUUGAAGAGAGAGUUCAAGAGUACGUGAAACCGUUCAGGGGUAAACCUGAGAAACCCAAAAGAUCGAAUGGGGAGAUUCAUCGCAAACGGGGCCGAUUCCUGUGUGGUAUGCGAUGGUCGGUGCCUCGGUACCGGUCACGCUAUCGCUUAGGUUAUAUUGGCCACGUCAGCGUGCACUUCUCCCCUAGUAGGACGUCGCGACCCGUUGGGUGCUGGCCUACGGCCCGAUUGGUCGACUGUCGCUUGGCGUUAACGCGCUUCUCGCGGCAGACCAUUGGUUGCCCGGCCGGCUGCCCGGCGGUAUUGAUUCAUUUAUGAACGGUAUUGGGCCGCAUUAUGUGCGUCCUGGCUCGUCGGCAGGCUCGCCUCGCUCGGAUUUACGGACCUAGCGCCGUUGCCGGGUGCUUGGCGUGGCCGUUAGUCGACGAUGUCCUCGGACUGGCUCUUACAUUCGAACGGAUGUACCGGUCGGCGACGCUACUGCUUUGGGUACUUUCAGGACCCGUCUUGAACACGGACCAAA